GGAUGUGAGGGCAAUCUGGCUGCAACAUCUGUCACCCCAUUGAUCCCCAGGUUGACUUGGCUAAUCUGGCUAGCUAGGCAGGUGUCCCUUCCCUCCCUUACCACUCCCUGUGCAUCCUCCCAAAUCUGCACUCUUGGUAGCAGAGGACAGAGGAGGAUUCUUUCCUUAGUCAAGAAUAUAUAAGUAAACUGAGUAUAGUGGUACACACCUGUAAUUCCACACUCAGGAGGCUGAGGCAGGAGGAUGCUGUGAGUUUAAGGCCUGUCUAGGCUAUGAAGUGAGUUCCAAGGCCAG
Unclassified non-coding RNA from Cavia porcellus (domestic guinea pig), 294 nucleotides. Its record names the gene 7SK. It matches the Rfam family "7SK RNA". From Rfam's summary of the family: 7SK was discovered as an abundant small nuclear RNA in the mid-70s but a possible function has only recently been suggested. The record is from Ensembl. NCBI's taxonomy places the organism in Eukaryota, Metazoa, Chordata, Mammalia, Rodentia, Caviidae.